UUGUCGGUAAAAGUCCGGUCCGGGUAGCUGCCAGGAGGCCCGGUAGCAGGCUGGCGGCUCGAUCUGGAAACGGAUCGGGCCGAAGCCCAGCGUCAAAGCCCUGAUAGGUGAGUGACUGAGUGUCGGCGCUCAGGAGCAUGG
Molecule: non-coding RNA, 141 nt
Filed under: Actinoplanes campanulatus
Lineage: Bacteria; Bacillati; Actinomycetota; Actinomycetes; Micromonosporales; Micromonosporaceae
Source: RNAcentral